RNAcentral lists this microRNA precursor (154 nucleotides) under Amborella trichopoda. Its description in RNAcentral is "MIR8565 microRNA precursor family". It matches the Rfam family "MIR8565 microRNA precursor family". Lineage: Eukaryota; Viridiplantae; Streptophyta; Magnoliopsida; Amborellales; Amborellaceae. The record is from Rfam by way of RNAcentral.
CCCACACCCAUGUGUGUAGGAUCUCAAAUAAUCACCAUUAAAUUUGACACAGAUCUCUAGAAUAGUUAUCACAUGAGUGUGGAACUUGACUUUUUUAGAGAUAUGUACCAAAUUUAAUGGUGAUCCUUUGGGAUUCUACAUAUAUGGGUGUGGG